RNAcentral lists this long non-coding RNA (1917 nucleotides) under Piliocolobus tephrosceles (Ugandan red Colobus). Its description in RNAcentral is "lncRNA (ENSPTEG00000010699.1)". Lineage: Eukaryota; Metazoa; Chordata; Mammalia; Primates; Cercopithecidae. The record is from RNAcentral.
AUGAAUAUAACUUCUGGAAUUCGAAGAAUUGAUAUAAAAAGUGGUGAUUACAUGAACGAAAUUUUACUUAAUCUGAGUGUUAAUUACUACAAAAAUAGAUUAGAAAAUUAUUUUGAAAAAACAAUUAAAAAAAGUAUUGCAUAUUUACAAAAUUUUAAAAAAUAUGAAUAUAUAUUAACAAAAGAUAUACAAAAAGAAUUUUCACUUUUUAAAGAAAAAAAUAAAAUUCAUUUAUAUCCUAACUAUUUUGAAUAUAACAAUAAUUUUAAAGAUUCUUUAAAACUAAUUAAACUAAAUAUACCUUAUAUGUUUCCUAAUAUUAUGGAAUAUGAAAAAUUGAUUAUGUCGUUAAAAGGAAGUUUAAACACUUUUUAUAAUACAAAAACAUAUGAAAGAAUUAAUUUUAUUUCUUUCCAUUCGGUUAAGGUAAUAGAUGGGUUAAUAAAAUAUACUAAAAAAAAUAUAACUCUUUAUACAGAAUAUUUACAAAACUUUGUUAAGGAGACUAUAUAUGCAGUUAAUUCAUUUUAUGAGGAACUAAUACAUGAUUUAAAUGAACCUGCAGUAGUUAAUUUUUUUGACAAAAAAGAACAAAGUGAAGAAGAUGGAGCAAAAAAUGGUGUUGAAUAUGUUUUAGAUGGUAGUAUUGACACUACCAGCUUAAGUGAUAAAAAAAAAAAUAUUAAAACAUCAGCCAAUGGUGGAGUAACGUAUAGUGGCCAAAUAGGUAGUGGCCAAAUAGGUAGUGGCNNNNNNNNNNAAAAAGACAUCUUUUACAGUAUGAUGAGAAAUUUAAGAAGCAUUAAAUUAAGUAAAAAAUUAAUACCAUUAGUAUUUCAAAAAUUGAACGAAAUUGUACAAAAAUUGAAAGAAUUGAAUAUAACCGUUGACUAUAACGAUAUAUUAGAAAAUGUAGAAAAAAAUAAGGAAAAAGUAGAAAAACAAUAUAAUGAUAUAAAAGAAAAAAUAUUAAAAUAUAAGAAUAAAGAAGUUAAGAAUAUAAAAAAUGAAAUAAUUACACUUAAGGAACAAAUAAAUAAAAUAAAAAAAUAUAUAUUUGAAAAUGUACCUAAUAGUCCCAAUGAUAUAUAUAACACUUCUUAUAAAAAAAUUAAUGAAUUUUAUGCUAGUUUUGAAAUAUAUAAAGAAAAACAAAAAUGUCAUAAAGAGCUGGAAGUACUUUUCGAAAUGGACGUAACUGUUUUUAACGAACUAAAAGAAAUAGGUAGUCAUUUAAAAAUGUUAAAACAUUUUUGGGAUGUUGUCAAUGGAGUUAUUUAUUAUAUAAAAGAAGAAAAACAAAAAAUAUGGACAAAAAUUGAUGUUAAUAUUAAUAUAUAUAUUAUAGAUUUUGUAACAUUAUAUAUAAGAAAAAAUUUUAUCGAACUUAAGCAUUUACCUAUUUAUGAAUAUAUUAUUAAAGAAUUAAAAAAGUUGUCUCAAAUUUUGCCUUUACUUAUAGAUUUGAAUAAUAAAUUUGUAUUUGAUAGGCAUUGGAAUAUAAUUAUAAAUAUAUCUGGGAGUGUUAAUUCUUUAUAUUCUAAAAAGGGAGUAGUUAAUAUUACCACUGUUAGUAGUAAAGAUAAUACAAAACUGGUUGAGUUAGCAAUGGAAUCUAAACCUUUAGACAUAGAAAGUGAAAAAAAAAAUCGUGUUGAUAACAUUUCUCCAACUAAUGAUGUUUUACAAAGUGACGAUAAUGUCCAACCAAAAGAAGACCCAACUGGAAUGGACGUUGGUACUGUCCCUAUCGCCACUACUCCUAUGGUUACUACUCCUAUGGCUACUACUCCUAUNNNNNNNNNNCUCCUAUGGCUACUGCCCCUAUCACUACCACCCCUAUCACUACUACCCCUAAUGGUGUGGAAGAAAAUGUGUCAGAACCUAAAAGUGACUAUUCCAUUAAUAAGAAUUUAA